GAUGAACGCUGGCGGCGUGCCUAAUACAUGCGAGUCGAGCGAACGGACGAGAAGCUUGCUUUUCUGAUGUUAGCGGCGGACGGGUGAGUAACACGUGGAUAACCUACCUAUAAGACUGGGAUAACUUCGGGAAACCGGAGCUAAUACCGGAUAAUAUUUUGAACCGCAUGGUUCAAAAGUGAAAGACGGUCUUGCUGUCACUUAUAGAUGGAUCCGCGCUGCAUUAGCUAGUUGGUAAGGUAACGGCUUACCAAGGCAACGAUGCAUAGCCGACCUGAGAGGGUGAUCGGCCACACUGGAACUGAGACACGGUCCAGACUCCUACGGGAGGCAGCAGUAGGGAAUCUUCCGCAAUGGGCGAAAGCCUGACGGAGCAACGCCGCGUGAGUGAUGAAGGUCUUCGGAUCGUAAAACUCUGUUAUUAGGGAAGAACAUAUGUGUAAGUAACUGUGCACAUCUUGACGGUACCUAAUCAGGAAGCCACGGCUAACUACGUG
RNAcentral lists this ribosomal RNA (497 nucleotides) under uncultured bacterium. Its description in RNAcentral is "partial 16S ribosomal RNA". It matches the Rfam family "Bacterial small subunit ribosomal RNA", at positions 28 to 507 of the family's 1533-position model. The record is from RNAcentral.